Molecule: ribosomal RNA, 422 nt
Filed under: uncultured bacterium
Lineage: Bacteria
Description: bacterial SSU rRNA
Rfam family: Bacterial small subunit ribosomal RNA
Source: RNAcentral
UGAGGAAUAUUGCGCAAUGGCCGAAAGGCUGACGCAGCGACGCCGCGUGAAGGAUGAAGUCCGUUAGGAUGUAAACUUCUUUUGCAGGGGAUGAAAAUCCGCUUUCGGGCGGAAUUGACCGUACCCUGCGAAUAAGGAUCGGCCAACUACGUGCCAGCAGCCGCGGUAAUACGUAGGAUCCGAGCGUUGUCCGGAAUUACUGGGUGUAAAGGGCGUGUAGGUGGGUCUUUAAGUCGGUGGUGAAAUCCUGCAGCUUAACUGCAGAACUGCUUCCGAUACUGAAGAUCUUGAGUACGGCAGAGGGAGAUGGAAUUCAUGGUGUAGCGGUGAAAUGUGUAGAUAUCAUGAAGAACACCGGUAGCGAAGGCGGUCUCCUGGUCCGUAACUGACACUGAGGCGCGAAAGCGUGGGGAGCAAACAGG